Molecule: long non-coding RNA, 426 nt
Filed under: Equus asinus (donkey)
Lineage: Eukaryota; Metazoa; Chordata; Mammalia; Perissodactyla; Equidae
Description: lncRNA (ENSEASG00005030210.1)
Source: RNAcentral
CACAAUAGGGAGAGGAAAUAAACCAUAAACAACCUACUGGGCCAACUGCCCAACAACAGUAGCCAUGGGCCUGUCAACAGCCAGCCCCUAGGCCACUCGGCAGGAGACAGAUGUGUAAGAAGAUUGGCCCUGAGCUUACAUCUGUUCCCAUCUUCCUCUACUUUAUAUGUGGGAUGCCUGCCACAGCAUGGUUUGAUAAGCAGUGUGUAGUUCCACAACCAAGAUCCAGGAUGGUGAACCUUGGGCCGCCAAUGCAAAGCACACAAACUUAACAGCUACGCGCCACCAGGCCAGCCCCUUUUUACUGAACCAGGCGACCCAGUGUUUCGUUGGUUCGAAUCCUGGGCACGGACAUGGCACUUCUCAUCAAACCACGCUGAGGCAGCGUCCCACAUGCCACAACUAGAAGGACCCACAACGAAGAAU